UACGUAGGGUGCGAGCGUUAAUCGGAAUUACUGGGCGUAAAGCGUGCGCAGGCGGUUCGUUGUGUCCGUCGUGAAAGCCCCGGGCUUAACCUGGGAACUGCGAUGGAAACUAGCGAGCUGGAGUGUGGCAGAGGGGGGUGGAAUUCCUGGUGUAGCGGUGAAAUGCGCAGAUAUCAGGAGGAACACCAGUGGCGAAGGCGGUGCUCUGGGCCGGAACUGACGCUGAGGAGCGAAAGCGUGGGGAGCAAACAGG
This 253-nucleotide ribosomal RNA is filed under the name uncultured bacterium. RNAcentral's name for it is "partial 16S ribosomal RNA". It matches the Rfam family "Bacterial small subunit ribosomal RNA", at positions 524 to 776 of the family's 1533-position model. The record is from RNAcentral.